RNAcentral lists this ribosomal RNA (1539 nucleotides) under Klebsiella ornithinolytica. RNAcentral describes it as "bacterial SSU rRNA". It matches the Rfam family "Bacterial small subunit ribosomal RNA". Lineage: Bacteria; Pseudomonadati; Pseudomonadota; Gammaproteobacteria; Enterobacterales; Enterobacteriaceae. The record is from RNAcentral.
AAUUGAAGAGUUUGAUCAUGGCUCAGAUUGAACGCUGGCGGCAGGCCUAACACAUGCAAGUCGAGCGGUAGCACAGAGAGCUUGCUCUCGGGUGACGAGCGGCGGACGGGUGAGUAAUGUCUGGGAAACUGCCUGAUGGAGGGGGAUAACUACUGGAAACGGUAGCUAAUACCGCAUAACGUCGCAAGACCAAAGUGGGGGACCUUCGGGCCUCAUGCCAUCAGAUGUGCCCAGAUGGGAUUAGCUAGUAGGUGGGGUAAUGGCUCACCUAGGCGACGAUCCCUAGCUGGUCUGAGAGGAUGACCAGCCACACUGGAACUGAGACACGGUCCAGACUCCUACGGGAGGCAGCAGUGGGGAAUAUUGCACAAUGGGCGCAAGCCUGAUGCAGCCAUGCCGCGUGUAUGAAGAAGGCCUUCGGGUUGUAAAGUACUUUCAGCGAGGAGGAAGGCAUUAAGGUUAAUAACCUUGGUGAUUGACGUUACUCGCAGAAGAAGCACCGGCUAACUCCGUGCCAGCAGCCGCGGUAAUACGGAGGGUGCAAGCGUUAAUCGGAAUUACUGGGCGUAAAGCGCACGCAGGCGGUUUGUUAAGUCAGAUGUGAAAUCCCCGGGCUCAACCUGGGAACUGCAUUUGAAACUGGCAAGCUUGAGUCUUGUAGAGGGGGGUAGAAUUCCAGGUGUAGCGGUGAAAUGCGUAGAGAUCUGGAGGAAUACCGGUGGCGAAGGCGGCCCCCUGGACAAAGACUGACGCUCAGGUGCGAAAGCGUGGGGAGCAAACAGGAUUAGAUACCCUGGUAGUCCACGCUGUAAACGAUGUCGACUUGGAGGUUGUUCCCUUGAGGAGUGGCUUCCGGAGCUAACGCGUUAAGUCGACCGCCUGGGGAGUACGGCCGCAAGGUUAAAACUCAAAUGAAUUGACGGGGGCCCGCACAAGCGGUGGAGCAUGUGGUUUAAUUCGAUGCAACGCGAAGAACCUUACCUACUCUUGACAUCCAGAGAACUUAGCAGAGAUGCUUUGGUGCCUUCGGGAACUCUGAGACAGGUGCUGCAUGGCUGUCGUCAGCUCGUGUUGUGAAAUGUUGGGUUAAGUCCCGCAACGAGCGCAACCCUUAUCCUUUGUUGCCAGCGGUCCGGCCGGGAACUCAAAGGAGACUGCCAGUGAUAAACUGGAGGAAGGUGGGGAUGACGUCAAGUCAUCAUGGCCCUUACGAGUAGGGCUACACACGUGCUACAAUGGCAUAUACAAAGAGAAGCGACCUCGCGAGAGCAAGCGGACCUCAUAAAGUAUGUCGUAGUCCGGAUUGGAGUCUGCAACUCGACUCCAUGAAGUCGGAAUCGCUAGUAAUCGUAGAUCAGAAUGCUACGGUGAAUACGUUCCCGGGCCUUGUACACACCGCCCGUCACACCAUGGGAGUGGGUUGCAAAAGAAGUAGGUAGCUUAACCUUCGGGAGGGCGCUUACCACUUUGUGAUUCAUGACUGGGGUGAAGUCGUAACAAGGUAACCGUAGGGGAACCUGCGGUUGGAUCACCUCCUUA